UAAGCAUAUCAAUAAGCGGAGGAAAAGAAACCAACAGGGAUUGCCUUAGUAGCGGCGAGUGAAGCGGCAAAAGCUCAAAUUUGAAAUCUGGCACCUUCGGUGUCCGAGUUGUAAUUUGAAGAUUGUAACCUUGGGGUUGGCUCUUGUCUAUGUUUCUUGGAACAGGACGUCACAGAGGGUGAGAAUCCCGUGCGAUGAGAUGCCCAAUCCUAUGUAAGGUGCUUUCGAAGAGUCGAGUUGUUUGGGAAUGCAGCUCUAAGUGGGUGGUAAAUUCCAUCUAAAGCUAAAUAUUGGCGAGAGACCGAUAGCGAACAAGUACAGUGAUGGAAAGAUGAAAAGAACUUUGAAAAGAGAGUGAAAAAGUACGUGAAAUUGUUGAAAGGGAAGGGUUUGAGAUCAGACUCGAUAUUUUGUGAGCCUUGCCUUCGUGGCGGGGUGACCCGCAGCUUAUCGGGCCAGCAUCGGUUUGGGCGGUAGGAUAAUGGCGUAGGAAUGUGACUUUGCUUCGGUGAAGUGUUAUAGCCUGCGUUGAUGCUGCCUGCCUAGACCGAGGACUGCGAUUUUAUCAAGGAUGCUGGCAUAAUGAUCCCAAACCGCCCGUCUUGAAACACGGACCAAGGAGUCUAACGUCUAUGCGAGUGUUUGGGUGUUAAACCCGUACGCGUAAUGAAAGUGAACGUAGGUGAGGGCUCUUUUGAGUGCAUCAUCGACCGAUCCUGAUGUCUUCGGAUGGAUUUGAGUAAGAGCAUAGCUGUUGGGACCCGAAAGAUGGUGAACUAUACCUGAAUAGGGUGAAGCCAGAGGAAACUCUGGUGGAGGCUCGUAGCGGUUCUGACGUGCAAAUCGAUCGUCGAAUUUGGGUAUAGGGGGCGAAAGACUAAUCGAACCAUCUAGUAGCUGGUUCCUGCCGAAGU
RNAcentral lists this ribosomal RNA (914 nucleotides) under Meyerozyma caribbica. Its description in RNAcentral is "LSU rRNA". It matches the Rfam family "Eukaryotic large subunit ribosomal RNA", at positions 35 to 967 of the family's 3401-position model. Lineage: Eukaryota; Fungi; Ascomycota; Pichiomycetes; Serinales; Debaryomycetaceae. The record is from RNAcentral.